RNAcentral lists this ribosomal RNA (496 nucleotides) under uncultured bacterium. Its description in RNAcentral is "partial 16S ribosomal RNA". It matches the Rfam family "Bacterial small subunit ribosomal RNA", at positions 28 to 506 of the family's 1533-position model. The record is from RNAcentral.
GAUGAACGCUGGCGGCGUGCCUAAUACAUGCAAGUCGAGCGAACAGACGAGGAGCUUGCUCCUCUGACGUUAGCGGCGGACGGGUGAGUAACACGUGGAUAACCUACCUAUAAGACUGGGAUAACUUCGGGAAACCGGAGCUAAUACCGGAUAAUAUAUUGAACCGCAUGGUUCAAUAGUGAAAGACGGUUUUGCUGUCACUUAUAGAUGGAUCCGCGCCGCAUUAGCUAGUUGGUAAGGUAACGGCUUACCAAGGCAACGAUGCGUAGCCGACCUGAGAGGGGGAUCGGCCCAACGGGAACUGAGAACCGGCCCAGCCCCCUAGGGGGGGCAGCAGGAGGAAAUUUUCCGCAAGGGGGGAAAGCCUGACGGAGCAACGCCGGGGGAGUGAAGAAGGUUUGCGGAUCGUAAAACUCUGUUUUUGGGGAAAAACAAAUGUGUAAGUAACGAUGCACGUCUUGACGGUACCAAAGCAGAAAGCCCCGGCAAACUACGG